GGAGUGCUUGCACUCUGUGAAACAAGAUACAGGCUAGCGGCGGACGGGUGAGUAACACGUGGGUAACCUGCCCAAGAGAUCGGGAUAACACCUGGAAACAGAUGCUAAUACCGGAUAACAACAGAUGAUGCCUAUCAACUGUUUAAAAGAUGGUUCUGCUAUCACUCUUGGAUGGACCUGCGGUGCAUUAGCUAGUUGGUAGGGUAACGGCCUACCAAGGCGAUGAUGCAUAGCCGAGUUGAGAGACUGAUCGGCCACAUUGGGACUGAGACACGGCCCAAACUCCUACGGGAGGCAGCAGUAGGGAAUCUUCCACAAUGGACGCAAGUCUGAUGGAGCAACGCCGCGUGAGUGAAGAAGGGUUUCGGCUCGUAAAGCUCUGUUGUUGGUGAAGAAGGACAGGGGUAGUAACUGACCUUUGUUUGACGGUAAUCAAUUAGAAAGUCACGGCUAGCUACGUGCCAGCAGCCGCGGUAAUACGUAGGUGGCAAGCGUUGUCCGGAUUUAUUGGGCGUAAAGCGAGUGCAGGCGGCUCGAUAAGUCUGAUGUGAAAGCCUUCGGCUCAACCGGAGAAUUGCAUCAGAAACUGUCGAGCUUGAGUACAGAAGAGGAGAGUGGAACUCCAUGUGUAGCGGUGAAAUGCGUAGAUAUAUGGAAGAACACCGGUGGCGAAGGCGGCCCUCUGGUCUGUUACUGACGCUGAGGCUCGAAAGCAUGGGUAGCGAACAGGAUUAGAUACCCUGGUAGUCCAUGCCGUANACGAUGAGUGCUAAGUGUUGGGAGGUUUCCGCCUCUCAGUGCUGCAGCUAACGCAUUAAGCACUCCGC
Molecule: ribosomal RNA, 827 nt
Filed under: uncultured bacterium
Lineage: Bacteria
Description: bacterial SSU rRNA
Rfam family: Bacterial small subunit ribosomal RNA
Source: RNAcentral